AUUUUAGAUAAAAAGACCAACGAUGGAGAUAUAUAAGACAUUGCUCCCAAAGAUCAGCAGGAAACUGUUUUCUGUGGAGAAAAUAUGCUGUGGAGGAAAAGAUAGUGUAAACUGCUUUUAGAAAAACAUACAGGAAAAAAGAGUGAAUGCAGAAGUUCAGAACAUCUCAUGACAGGAUUUAGCAGUAACUUCAAUCCACUCCUUGUUACAAUCCAUAAUGGACAUGUAUUUCCAUCUGUUCAGAAAGAAUAGAGGCCAGACCAGAUGUAACCUGUGAUUUACCAAAUGGGAAGCAAACACAAGGAUUGCUUUCUGUCAUCUGUUGAUAUAGAAACCAGUAGAGCUGGACUGGCAUUUCAGCAGAGCUCUCCCACUGGGAAACUGCAAAGGAAACUCAUCUGAUUCCUCUUUUUCCACUGCUCUGACUUGACAGUUCCUCUGGACAAAGCGUAUCUUACAAUGAAGCUGUAUGAGCUUGCAUCUAAAUGGUUGAUCUCUAGGGAAAAUAAAAGAAGGCUUUUUACAGCUUAUACCUUAUAUUUUUACUGGAGAGAAUGGUGAAGAGAUGAUACGAAGCUGCUCUCUGAGAAAAGAUGGUGCAAAUAAAGCCUCUGGUUUUCCUCCCUCUCCACUUCAGUGCACAUGAAAGGGUUCUGAGAGUGCCAAAGGACAUGAGGCAGGUGUUAGCAAGUUACAAAGAAAAAUCUUCAUCUGCAUUUCAUCCUCCUCCAAAUUACCCCAUGAAGAAACAUCUGUUUUCUGAUUUAAAAGAGGAAAUACAUAACGUAGAGAGUGCUCCUUGUGCCGCUGCAUUAGCUUCAUCUAAGAUAAUUAGUAUAUUCUUAUGUUUUGAUGCAAACUUUAAUAAAGAUUUUAUUUGGAAGUAUGAGGAUGGUUUGUAGUGAUAGUUUAAGACUCAACAGUUCGAAAUGUACUUUACAGUAAACUGGAUGGCAAAGCCAUCUGAGUUUGGAUUUUUUAUGGGGUUUUUUUUGGUUUUUUUUUGUUUUUUCCACAUUCAUGUGAUUUAAACAGGACAGAAUCAGAUAACAUUUUA
Long non-coding RNA from Coturnix japonica (Japanese quail), 1057 nucleotides. RefSeq lists it as uncharacterized. The record is from RefSeq and is a predicted model, not a curated record. Lineage: Eukaryota; Metazoa; Chordata; Aves; Galliformes; Phasianidae.